Molecule: ribosomal RNA, 472 nt
Filed under: uncultured bacterium
Lineage: Bacteria
Description: bacterial SSU rRNA
Rfam family: Bacterial small subunit ribosomal RNA
Source: RNAcentral
GAUGAACGCUGGCGGCGCGCUUAAGACAUGCAAGUCGAACGGUUCAAUAACAUUGCUGAAGAUGAAGAUUUAUCAGAUUUGGAAGCGCCGUUGUUGGAUAGUGGCGGACGGGUGAGUAACACGUGAGCAACCUGCCUUCAAGAGGGGGAUAACAGAGAGAAAUUUCUGCUAAUACCGCAUAAGACCACAGCAUCGCAUGGUGCAGAGGUCAAAGGAGUAAUCCGCUUGAAGAUGGGCUUGCGGCUGAUUAGCUAGUUGGUGAGGUAAAGGCCCACCAAGGCGACGAUCAGUAGCCGAACUGAGAGGUUGAUCGGCCACAUUGGGACUGAGACACGGCCCAGACUCCUACGGGAGGCAGCAGUCGGGAAUAUUGCACAAUGGGGGAAACCCUGAUGCAGCGACGCCGCGUAAAGGAAGAAGGUCUUCGGAUUGUAAACUUUUGUCGACAGGGAAGAGAAAGGACAGUACCUGU